This is a long non-coding RNA of Panthera uncia (snow leopard), 746 nucleotides long. RefSeq lists it as uncharacterized. NCBI's taxonomy places the organism in Eukaryota, Metazoa, Chordata, Mammalia, Carnivora, Felidae. The transcript is spliced from 3 exons. The record is from RefSeq and is a predicted model, not a curated record.
GAUAUGCCCAAUUGGGAGGUGGGCCCAUUUGGCACCUAUGCCUGCCUUCUAAGCUAUGUGGACCUAGACCCCGAAAUUCCACUAAAUGGCUGGAAUCCACUUUCAGGGCUUGAGAAACCUUUUACUUUGGUCAUUCCUCCUGAAGGCAGCUCUCUCCACUUGUGGGUGUGUCCCUAGACCUGGGCUAUAGCUAUGUGGGAGGAGUGUGGGAGAACAAGAAGAGGCUGGGGAUGGAAAAGAAGAAGGUUUUCCCCAGCCAACCAUGGUCUGGAAGCAGAUGAUCUUCCUUCUGGGGUGUCAUCAGAAGGUCAAUAGCACCCUGAUGCUACAUCACAGUGCCUGAGUCAUUCACCUCACUUCAUCUUAUCACGUAGGCGUUUUAUCUCCCAUCAUCACAACAAGAAGACAGACCAGCAACGCUGAACUACUUACAGUUUCCUCUCCUACGGAGUUCUUCUCCAAUGCUGUUUAUCCUCUCCAUGCCUCUGCGUAGUCUGCUGCUUUUGCUGGAAGACCUCCAUAUUUUCUAGCUGAUCUGAGACUCCACCCCAGAUCAUCUUUUCAGGAAAUCUUACCUGACCAUUUCCCUCUACAUCUCUAACUUUUUUAGGGGCCUUUAUGGGAUCCCCAAAUUCCCUUAUAAAUAUCUUUAUCAUUACACACCUAUUUUUUUCCCCUAAGUGUCACUAUUUCUUUGUUUGCAGCUUUUAUUAAUCUGAGAGUUCAUUGGCCACAGGGACUAUGCC